GGGUGUGAUCAUACCAGCGUUAAUGCAUCAGAUCCCAUCAGAUCUCCACAGUUAAGAGAGCUUGGGCUAGAGUAGUACUGUGAUGGUUAACCUCCUGGGAAGUCCUAGUGUUUCACCCU
Molecule: non-coding RNA, 119 nt
Organism: Picea glauca (white spruce)
Lineage: Eukaryota; Viridiplantae; Streptophyta; Pinopsida; Pinales; Pinaceae
Source: Rfam